RNAcentral lists this ribosomal RNA (799 nucleotides) under uncultured bacterium. Its description in RNAcentral is "bacterial SSU rRNA". It matches the Rfam family "Bacterial small subunit ribosomal RNA", at positions 8 to 798 of the family's 1533-position model. The record is from RNAcentral.
AGAGUUUGAUCCUGGCUCAGGAUGAACGCUAGCGGCAGGCUUAAUACAUGCAAGUCGAGGGGCAGCAUGAGUGUAGCAAUACAUUUGAUGGCGACCGGCAAACGGGUGCGGAACACGUACACAACCUUCCUAUAAGUGGGGAAUAGCCCAGAGAAAUUUGGAUUAAUACCCCGUAACAUAAUGAUGUGGCAUCACAUUAUUAUUAUAGCUACGGCGCUUAUUGAUGGGUGUGCGGCUGAUUAGAUAGUUGGCGGGGUAACGGCCCACCAAGUCUACGAUCAGUAGCUGAUGUGAGAGCAUGAUCAGCCACACGGGCACUGAGACACGGGCCCGACUCCUACGGGAGGCAGCAGUAAGGAAUAUUGGUCAAUGGACGCAAGUCUGAACCAGCCAUGCCGCGUGAAGGAUUAAGGUCCUCUGGAUUGUAAACUUCUUUUAUCUGGGACGAAAAAAGGCGAUUCUUCGUCACUUGACGGUACCAGAUGAAUAAGCACCGGCUAACUCCGUGCCAGCAGCCGCGGUAAUACGGAGGGUGCAAGCGUUAUCCGGAUUCACUGGGUUUAAAGGGUGCGUAGGCGGGUAGGUAAGUCAGUGGUGAAAUCCUGGAGCUUAACUCCAGAACUGCCAUUGAUACUAUCUAUCUUGAAUAUUGUGGAGGUAAGCGGAAUAUGUCAUGUAGCGGUGAAAUGCUUAGAUAUGACAUAGAACACCUAUUGCGAAGGCAGCUUACUACGCAUAUAUUGACGCUGAGGCACGAAAGCGUGGGGAUCAAACAGGAUUAGAUACCCCGGUAGUCCAA